Molecule: RNA transcript, 3441 nt
Organism: Culex pipiens pallens (northern house mosquito)
Lineage: Eukaryota; Metazoa; Arthropoda; Insecta; Diptera; Culicidae
Gene name: sprouty-related, EVH1 domain-containing protein 2
Exons: 10
Source: RefSeq, a predicted model, not a curated record
GUUCGUGCACAAGUAAUGGCCAGAGAUGAAAGUACCGAAGGUUGGUUACCACUGCAAGGCGGUGGACUCGCGAACGUCUCCAUACGCAAACGCGUCCGGCUGCCACCGGCCACCGGUGGCGGUCACGAAUACAUCAUCUACGGACAAAGAAUUUCUGACCAAACGGUUAUCCUAAGUUGUGUUAUCAAUCGAGAUCUGCAGUACUUCAAAGUCAUGCCCACGUUUCAUCACUGGCGUGCCGGCAAGCAGCGGAAUGGGCUCACCUUCCAGACUGCGGCCGAUGCGAGAGCUUUCGACAAGGGAAUCAUCCGUGCCUACGAUGACCUCAUUGAUGGCAUGGAUGAUUACACGACGCACAACAAAUACAACGAUGUGGAUAAAGUUGGCGAGGACGACGUGUUCAUGACAUUGGAUCUACCGGUGGAACCUUCUGAGUCGCGAUCAAAUUCUGAGGGUAGCGGAAGUCAUCAAAGCGUCGAUAAACAAUCACAGCAGCAGCAAUCCAGUAUUACAUACAUAUCGGGCGAAAAACCGUCACCGCUGCUGAAGCCUGGUGAUGAUAAAAUUAAUGUCACUCCAAUAGUACCUGGUGACAACUACUCGUACGUUCAGAUAACUGAUCCGUGCGACAUCAAGUUGAAGUAUAACUUUUAUAACUUGAAGGUGCACGAGUACAACUAUCCGGUCGUCGACGAACCCGUGACAUCGAUUAUCCACCAUCCCGGCCGGCGGGACUCGACGUCCAGCCUGAAGAAGCGGAACGCGCUCGACGCGCCGGCGAUGAAGGACGCGACACUCAUCAAGACACGGUUGCGCUGCAGAUACUGUCAGGAGUUCUACAAUGACGAGUGGAACCACAAGGGUUCGUGUGAUUACGCGCCCGACUGCUUCAAGACGGCCAUCGAGAACGUGUCCGGGAUGCUGUGCGCGCGCUGCAUGCUGUACCACUGCAUGAAGGACUCGGAGGGCGACACCGCGUCCCAUCCCUGCUCCUGCACGGCCGAGUCCGGCUGCACGAAACGUUGGAUCGGUCUGGCUUUGCUGUCCCUGCUGGUGCCAUGUCUCUGGUGCUAUCCACCACUUCGCGCCUGCCACUGGAUCGGGGUCUCGUGUCGGCUUUGCGGUGGGAAACACAAACCACAAAUUUGACAUCCGAUCAAGAUCAUCAACCUAACAAGUAUUAAUCGGCUCGACUGGUAGUUGAUAGCUAUUGAGCAGCUCUCCAAGUCCCUUCUGAAUAGCAACUAGUAACACGAGGUACUGAAAAAAACAAAAAACAAAACGGAAACAUAAUGCAGCUUACACAGACGUGCACCAUACGGAAAAGCGAAAGAGAGGAAACGGAAACAGCAACAACAACAAACAAAAGAUGAAGACAAAUCCAACUGUAACACAACAAAACCUACCAAAGUGAUAAAGAGCGGAAAAAAACGAAAAUGAUGUUUAACGUUGAAAAAAUAAUAAAGAAAAAAAAGUGGGAAAAACCAAAUUCAGUUGUGCUACAACUAAACAAUAAGUAAAACAAACAAAUAAAGGAAAAUACACAAAACACAAAAAUAUCGCUACGCGUAGAUGAAAUGAACCAGUAAAUCAGAGUAAACACAUUCGUUGAUGUCUAAAUCUAGCUGAAACCAAAAAGAAAACUUAAACAAGUCGGACAAGACUUUAGCGGAAAUAACAAAAAGUUGUUAGAGGUGGAAUGGUGUGCUGGUGGCAGCCACACACGCGCGGCAACAAUCGGAUAACAAUAACGGAACGAACGGAAAAGGAAGCGUUAGCAGCCGAGCAACACAACACACACACAAUUUCAUAACACACAAUCUGUCGAAGUGAAAUUGAAGGGUUACGCUAACGGCAGCAGCAGCAACAACAACAAAAAAAGUCAAAGAAAACCAUAAAAUUUAUGGUUGAACAGUGCGCGCGAAAAUAGACACACACACAAAUUAUGGAUGCUAUUAUGGGAAGUCUUGUUUUUCCUGUGUUCCGAGGUAUUAUUGCUUUAGUUCAAAAAAUAAACAUUAAAGAUGGACGGGGAAGAGAGAAUAUUCAUUAAUCGGCGUAUGAAAGAAAUUACUAGCACGUAAGCAAAACCACGUUGUUGGAGAUUUUUGAAACUCAGAUCGUUUAUUUUGCAAUCUAUGGGGUGUGGCGCGCGCAGAACAAAAGCGAAAGAAAGAAAGCGAGCGUGUAGAAUCAAUCGUUCAACUAUAUGAGAAAAUAUAUAUGACUGUUUUGUGUCGUUUCGAGCGCGCAGUUGAAAGAUAUGCAUUAGUUUUACAUUUGAAAGUUUGUUUGUUGAAAAUAUUCGCUAGUUUUUUACUAUUUUUCGUUUUAUCGAUUGCAUUAUUACUAACGAAGAGAAAAAAAAGUGGGUGAAGAAAGUAUAUAUUAGAGAUAUAUAAGCCAUAGUUAUGUAUUCAGAUACACAAUCAUGGAUAUAACAUAAAGAAAACUAUAUAAAACUGAGCAGGUUGAGGUGACGAAACCUACUUUAAGAUGUACUAGUGCAUAGAAAAUCAUAAAAUCACAUUAAACACAUGGCUUCACUCUCCUGCUUCCACUCCCGGAUGAAAGUCCCGCUCCAGCUGAGAUGGUUCCGGCUGCUGUCGGCAGUUGUUGGUUUGGCGUCCUCUUUCUAAUCGCCGGAACCGCCGGACUACCGUGUGCAACCUGAGGAUUCUUUCGAACGAUCUUUCCAAAAUUUAAACCCUUUUUGCGCCGCGGCAUAUUCGGUGCCGGACCGGCCAACCUUGUGCCAUAUGGAUGCGCCCGCUGGUCGGCGGUUCCACACACAUAAACCAUGCUGCCCUCACGCGCAGGUGAAGAACCGUCUCGUUGGUGGAGGAAACGCGGACAGUGAAGUAGUUUCACAUUCGUAAAACAAAAAUCAACAGAGAAAUAAGUAACCGUUAAACCGUUAUCUUUAUCAUUGUCACACACACACACAUCUUUGGCGUUCCUGGUUUGUUUAUGUUCAUAGGGGCAUACCAUCUCGAACAAAGAAAAAAAAAACGUGCGGAAGUCGCAAAGGGCUCAGCGGUGACCGUCACAAAAAAUCAUGAUGAACAUAAAGAAAUCCAAGAAACGUAGAUCAAAUGAAAAAAAAUAUAUAUAUAUAUUCUACACAGACAAAAAAAUCUAUGUUUUAGCGUAACAGGAAGUCUUACAAGUUAUUAAAGACGAAUAAAAACAUUUACAUAAAGAAAAAAAUACAUAACUGCGUAAAAAAUACAAAUACAUUGUGUGAACAUAAUUCAAUACGAGAGAGACACUUUAAGAAAAGAGGUAAACUUGCUACGAAAAUAAACUUAUGUGUACAUUACAAAAGAUGAAAAAAACCAUUGUACGAAACAAAAAUCUGUCCUGUGUAAACCUGAUUUCAUUUUUAGCUGCUAAUAAUUUUAUUUCAUAGUUUUAUUGUGUUCAUCAGCAAAGAAAAGA